GGCUCUUUGGCGAUGUGAUUGGCGCAUUUGACUCUUGCUCAGGAGUCUGGGGUUCAAUUCCCCGCCUGGGCCC
This is a non-coding RNA of Gymnothorax javanicus (giant moray), 73 nucleotides long. The record is from the annotation of a GenBank genome assembly. Lineage: Eukaryota; Metazoa; Chordata; Actinopteri; Anguilliformes; Muraenidae.